GCUCUGUAUUAUCUACAAUGACGGGUAUAGCAUGAGACUCUUAAUCUCAGGAUCGUGGAUUCGAGCCCCACAUUGGGCU
Podarcis lilfordi (Lilford's wall lizard) is the source of this 79-nucleotide non-coding RNA. Lineage: Eukaryota; Metazoa; Chordata; Lepidosauria; Squamata; Lacertidae. The record is from the annotation of a GenBank genome assembly.